CUUAACCUUAUAAAUCACAAAGCCAUAGGGAUUCAUUUUCUUCUUCUUCUUCGUCUUCAGCCAUUGAUAAUAUUCGAUUCUUACAUCUGUGUAGCAUCAUCAAGAUUCACAAGCAGAUUGAAGGCGUGAUGAAUAUAUAGAUACAGAUAGAUACAGACAAUGACGAUGGCUUUACGUCAUCAUGCACCAAAAGCCUAGCCUGAGAAUCUUGAUGAUGCUGCAUCGGCAAUCAACGGCUACAAACUCACGGUAGAAUUCAAUCGACGGUCAGAUUUCCAUCUCAGGAUAUACAGAUCAGAUCGUCAUCUAUCCAUGAUGUCGUCAGGCCGACAGUACCACUGAGGGAACUUAACUCUGCAAAUGAAUUUCAUUGGUAAGAGAAUUUUCUUUCUGUGAUUAUUCUCCUACACAAUGAAGAAACCCCUUUUUUUUUCUAUUUAUGUUUUUUUAAUUUGUGAAUGAGAAUAUUCACAAAGUGGUUUAGAUUAUUUUAGGCAAAAUUGUUUAUAAUUUAUUUGUGAUUUGGAUAAUUAAUUUGUAAUUUUUGAUAUGAUUUAAAAAUUGUAUGAGAUUUUUUUUGUAUU
Long non-coding RNA from Andrographis paniculata, 584 nucleotides. RefSeq lists it as uncharacterized. The transcript is spliced from 3 exons. The record is from RefSeq and is a predicted model, not a curated record. Lineage: Eukaryota; Viridiplantae; Streptophyta; Magnoliopsida; Lamiales; Acanthaceae.